AGCUGUGCACAGUGGCAGUAUCGUAGCCAAUGAGGUUUAUCCCAGACAUGAUUAUUGCUGAUUGAAAAAUUUUACCCCGCCAUGAUGACUUGAAAUAUAGUUGGCAUUGGCAAUUUUUGACAGUCUCUACAGAGA
Molecule: small nuclear RNA, 135 nt
Filed under: Dasypus novemcinctus (nine-banded armadillo)
Lineage: Eukaryota; Metazoa; Chordata; Mammalia; Cingulata; Dasypodidae
Description: U4 spliceosomal RNA (ENSDNOG00000029421.1)
Rfam family: U4 spliceosomal RNA
About the family: U4 small nuclear RNA (U4 snRNA) is a component of the major U2-dependent spliceosome. The structure of U4 snRNA from yeast and human has been reported. U4 snRNA presents a k-turn RNA motif in the 5p-SL related to recognition of Snu13 protein.
Source: RNAcentral